RNAcentral lists this ribosomal RNA (808 nucleotides) under uncultured euryarchaeote. RNAcentral describes it as "bacterial SSU rRNA". It matches the Rfam family "Archaeal small subunit ribosomal RNA", at positions 433 to 1259 of the family's 1478-position model. The record is from RNAcentral. Lineage: Archaea; Methanobacteriati; Methanobacteriota.
GAAUAAGGACUGGGUAAGACUAGUGCCAGCCGCCGCGGUAAUACUAGCGGUCCAAGUCGCAACCAUUAUUAUUGGGUCUAAAACAUCCGUAGCUUGUUUAGUAAGUUUCUUGUGAAAUUUUAUGUCUUAAGCAUAGGGCGAGCAAGAAGUACUGCUAAGCUAGAGACCGGGAGGAGUAAGGAGUAUGUUCAGAGUAACGGUAAAAUGUGUUAAUCCUGAAUAGACUAACAAUAGCGAAGGCACCUUACUAGAACGGUUCUGACAGUCAGGGAUGAAGGCUAGGGGCGCAAAACGGAUUAGAUACCCGUGUAGUCCUAGCAGUGAACACUGCACACUAAACCUUGUGAUCUCCUCGAGAGAUUGCAGGGCUGCAGGGAAGCCGAAGAGUGUGCUACCUGGGAAGUAUAGUCGCAAGGCCGAAACUUAAAGGAAUUGGCGGGGAGACACUACAACGGGUGACGCGUGCGGUUCAAUUAGAUUAUACACCGUGAACCUUACCAGGAGCGACAGCAGGAUGAAGGUCAGUCUAAAGGGCUUACCUGACACGCUGAGAGGGGAUGCAUGGCCGACGUCAGCCUGUGCCGUGAGGUGACCUGUUAAAUCAGGUAACAGGCAAGACCCUCAUCUUUAUUUACUAUGUGUACUAUAGAGAGAUUGCCAUUGUAAAAUGGAUGAAAGCGGGGGCUACGUUAGGUGAGUACAUCCCAAAUCCCCUGGGCAACACGCGCGCGUCAAUGGCAGAUACAAUGAGAUGCGACUCUGAAAAGAGAAGCCAAUCUCUUAAAGUUUGUCUUAGUCCAGAUUGAGG